This 69-nucleotide transfer RNA is filed under the name Pristimantis thymelensis (Thymelen robber frog). RNAcentral describes it as "tRNA-Ser". The record is from RNAcentral. Lineage: Eukaryota; Metazoa; Chordata; Amphibia; Anura; Strabomantidae.
CGAGCAUGACGGGCGAACGAAAAUUGCUAACUUAGUCGUUUCUAUGGUUCAACUCCACAGCAUACUCAC